Molecule: ribosomal RNA, 793 nt
Filed under: uncultured bacterium
Lineage: Bacteria
Description: bacterial SSU rRNA
Rfam family: Bacterial small subunit ribosomal RNA
Source: RNAcentral
AGAGUUUGAUCAUGGCUCAGAUUGAACGCUGGCGGCAGGCCUAACACAUGCAAGUCGAGCGGUAGAGAGAAGCUUGCUUCUCUUGAGAGCGGCGGACGGGUGAGUAAUGCCUAGGAAUCUGCCUGGUAGUGGGGGAUAACGUUCGGAAACGGACGCUAAUACCGCAUACGUCCUACGGGAGAAAGCAGGGGACCUUCGGGCCUUGCGCUAUCAGAUGAGCCUAGGUCGGAUUAGCUAGUUGGUGAGGUAAUGGCUCACCAAGGCGACGAUCCGUAACUGGUCUGAGAGGAUGAUCAGUCACACUGGAACUGAGACACGGUCCAGACUCCUACGGGAGGCAGCAGUGGGGAAUAUUGGACAAUGGGCGAAAGCCUGAUCCAGCCAUGCCGCGUGUGUGAAGAAGGUCUUCGGAUUGUAAAGCACUUUAAGUUGGGAGGAAGGGUUGUAGAUUAAUACUCUGCAAUUUUGACGUUACCGACAGAAUAAGCACCGGCUAACUCUGUGCCAGCAGCCGCGGUAAUACAGAGGGUGCAAGCGUUAAUCGGAAUUACUGGGCGUAAAGCGCGCGUAGGUGGUUUGUUAAGUUGGAUGUGAAAUCCCCGGGCUCAACCUGGGAACUGCAUUCAAAACUGACUGACUAGAGUAUGGUAGAGGGUGGUGGAAUUUCCUGUGUAGCGGUGAAAUGCGUAGAUAUAGGAAGGAACACCAGUGGCGAAGGCGACCACCUGGACUAAUACUGACACUGAGGUGCGAAAGCAUGGGGAGCAAACAGGAUUAGAUACCCUGGUAGUCC